CUGACGAGAGUCGCAGAUACCAGGUGGCUGCAACUGUUUAUUAAAAACACAGCACUGUGCAAAAUCGUAAGAUGACGUAUACGGUGUGACGCCUGCCCGGUGCCGGAAGGUUAAUUGAUGGGGUUAGACUUCGGUCGAAGCUCUUGAUCGAAGCCCCGGUAAACGGCGGCCGUAACUAUAACGGUCCUAAGGUAGCGAAAUUCCUUGUCGGGUAAGUUCCGACCUGCACGAAUGGCGUAAUGAUGGCCACGCUGUCUCCACCCGAGACUCAGUGAAAUUGAAAUCGCUGUGAAGAUGCAGUGUACCCGCGGCUAGACGGAAAGACCCCGUGAACCUUUACUACAGCUUGGCACUGAACAUUGACCCUACAUGUGUAGGAUAGGUGGGAGGCUUUGAAGCACGUACGCCAGUAUGUGUGGAGCCGUCCUUGAAAUACCACCCUUGUAGUGUUGAUGUUCUAACGUCGACCCCUAAUCGGGGUUGCGGACAGUGCCUGGUGGGUAGUUUGACUGGGGCGGUCUCCUCCCAAAGAGUAACGGAGGAGCACGAAGGUGGGCUAAUCACGGUUGGACAUCGUGAGGUUAGUGCAAUGGCAUAAGCCCGCUUGACUGCGAGAAUGACAAUUCGAGCAGGUGCGAAAGCAGGUCAUAGUGAUCCGGUGGUUCUGAAUGGAAGGGCCAUCGCUCAACGGAUAAAAGGUACUCCGGGGAUAACAGGCUGAUACCGCCCAAGAGUUCAUAUCGACGGCGGUGUUUGGCACCUCGAUGUCGGCUCAUCACAUCCUGGGGCUGAAGUCGGUCCCAAGGGUAUGGCUGUUCGCCAUUUAAAGUGGUACGCGAGCUGGGUUUAGAACGUCGUGAGACAGUUCGGUCCCUAUCUGCCGUGGGCGUUGGAAGAUUGAAGGGGGCUGCUCCUAGUACGAGAGGACCGGAGUGGACGAACCUCUGGUGUUCGGGUUGUGUCGCCAGACGCAUUGCCCGGUAGCUAAGUUCGGAAUCGAUAACCGCUGAAAGCAUCUAAGCGGGAAGCGAGCCCUGAGAUGAGUCUUCCCUGAUACUUUAAGUAUCCUAAAGGGUUGUCGGAGACUACGACGUUGAUAGGUCAGGUGUGUAAGUGCUGUGAGGCAUUGAGCUAACUGAUACUAAUUGCCCGUGAGGCUUAACCAU
Molecule: ribosomal RNA, 1166 nt
Filed under: Vibrio parahaemolyticus
Lineage: Bacteria; Pseudomonadati; Pseudomonadota; Gammaproteobacteria; Vibrionales; Vibrionaceae
Description: partial 23S ribosomal RNA
Rfam family: Bacterial large subunit ribosomal RNA
Source: RNAcentral